This 253-nucleotide ribosomal RNA is filed under the name uncultured bacterium. RNAcentral's name for it is "partial 16S ribosomal RNA". It matches the Rfam family "Bacterial small subunit ribosomal RNA", at positions 524 to 776 of the family's 1533-position model. The record is from RNAcentral.
UACGUAGGGUCCGAGCGUUGUCCGGAAUUACUGGGCGUAAAGAGCUCGUAGGUGGUUUGUCGCGUUGUUCGUGAAAACUCACAGCUUAACUGUGGGCGUGCGGGCGAUACGGGCAGACUUGAGUACUGCAGGGGAGACUGGAAUUCCAGGUGUAGCGGUGGAAUGCGUAGAUAUCUGGAAGAACACCGGUGGCGAAGGCGGCUCGCUGGGCCAGUUCUGACACUCAUCCGCGAAAGCGUGGGGAGCAAACAGG